This 389-nucleotide ribosomal RNA is filed under the name uncultured bacterium. RNAcentral's name for it is "bacterial SSU rRNA". It matches the Rfam family "Bacterial small subunit ribosomal RNA", at positions 28 to 417 of the family's 1533-position model. The record is from RNAcentral.
GACGAACGCUGGCGGCGUGCUUAACACAUGCAAGUCGAGCGGUAAGGCCCUUUCGGGGGUACGACGAGCGGCGAACGGGUAGAGUAACACGUGGGUGACCUGCCCUCAGCUCUGGGAUAAGCCUGGGAAACUGGGUCUAAUACUGGAUAUGACUCCACGGUGCAUGUCGUGGGGUGGAAAGCCUUGUGCGGCUGAGGAUGGGCCCGCGGCCUAUCAGCUUGUUGGUGGGGUGAGGCCUACCAAGGCGACGACGGGUAGCCGGCCUGAGAGGGCGACCGGCCACACUGGGACUGAGACACGGCCCAGACUCCUACGGGAGGCAGCAGUGGGGAAUCUUGCGCAAUGGGCGAAAGCCUGACGCAGCGACGCCGCGUGAGGGAUGACGGCCU